GCCAACGUCCAUACCACGUUGAAAACACCGGUUCUCGUCCGAUCACCGAAGUCAAGCAACGUCGGGCGUAGUCAGUACUUGGAUGGGUGACCGCCUGGGAACACUACGUGAUGUUGGCUUUUU
This 123-nucleotide ribosomal RNA is filed under the name Bombyx mori (domestic silkworm). The record is from RNAcentral. Lineage: Eukaryota; Metazoa; Arthropoda; Insecta; Lepidoptera; Bombycidae.